RNAcentral lists this ribosomal RNA (497 nucleotides) under uncultured bacterium. Its description in RNAcentral is "partial 16S ribosomal RNA". It matches the Rfam family "Bacterial small subunit ribosomal RNA", at positions 28 to 507 of the family's 1533-position model. The record is from RNAcentral.
GAUGAACGCUGGCGGCGUGCCUAAUACAUGCAAGUCGAGCGAACGGACGAGAAGCUUGCUUCUCUGAUGUUAGCGGCGGACGGGUGAGUAACACGUGGAUAACCUACCUAUAAGACUGGGAUAACUUCGGGAAACCGGAGCUAAUACCGGAUAAUAUUUUGAACCGCAUGGUUCAAAAGUGAAAGACGGUCUUGCUGUCACUUAUAGAUGGAUCCGCGCUGCAUUAGCUAGUUGGUAAGGUAACGGCUUACCAAGGCAACGAUGCAUAGCCGACCUGAGAGGGGGGACGCAGAAUAUGUGACUGAGCGACGGUCGACAAACCUAUGGUAGGCAGACGCAGGGAAUUUGACGAAAUUCUCCGAAGCGUAAAUGACUAAUGCGGGGUAAGAUAUGACGGACAUCUGAUCGUACAACUCUGGUCUGAACGAAGAAAAAAAGUGUAGGUAACCGCGCAGCCAGUGCGGGUGCCAAAGGAGAAAGCCACGGCUCGCUACGUG